Molecule: ribosomal RNA, 489 nt
Filed under: uncultured bacterium
Lineage: Bacteria
Description: partial 16S ribosomal RNA
Rfam family: Bacterial small subunit ribosomal RNA
Source: RNAcentral
GACGAACGCUGGCGGCGUGCUUAACACAUGCAAGUCGAACGGUGAAGGGACCAGCUUGCUGGUUCUGGAUGAGUGGCGAACGGGUGAGUAACACGUGAGUAACCUGCCCCCUUCUUCUGGAUAACCGCAUGAAAGUGUGGCUAAUACGGGAUAUUCUGGGUCUGUCGCAUGGCGGGCCCGGGAAAGAUAUUGCUUCGGUGGGGGAUGGGCUCGCGGCCUAUCGGCUUGUUGGUGGGGUGAUGGCCUACCAAGGCGGUGACGGGUAGCCGGCCUGAGAGGGUGGACGGUCACACUGGGACUGAGACACGGCCCAGACUCCUACGGGAGGCAGCAGUGGGGAAUAUUGCACAAUGGGCGCAAGCCUGAUGCAGCGACGCCGCGUGAGGGAUGGAGGCCUUCGGGUUGUAAACCUCUUUCGCCAGUGAAGCAGGCCUGCUCCGUGUGGGUGGGUUGACGGUAGCUGGAUAAGAAGCGCCGGCUAACUACGUG